Molecule: small nuclear RNA, 191 nt
Organism: Myotis myotis
Lineage: Eukaryota; Metazoa; Chordata; Mammalia; Chiroptera; Vespertilionidae
Product: U2 spliceosomal RNA
Exons: 1
Source: RefSeq, a predicted model, not a curated record
AUCGCUUCUCGGCCUUUUGGCUAAGAUCAAGUGUAGUAUCUGUUCUUAUCAGUUUAAAAAUCAAUGGGAAAAAAUAUCCUCAGGUGAGGAUUAACAAAAGAAAAAAAAUGUGGAUGCCAAGAAGUAUCAUUGCUGGGAGGCCUGCCCUUACUGGCUUUCUCACUGGUCCUAAAAUUCCCAGAUAACUCAUU